Solanum dulcamara is the source of this 330-nucleotide long non-coding RNA. RefSeq lists it as uncharacterized. The transcript has 4 exons. The record is from RefSeq and is a predicted model, not a curated record. NCBI's taxonomy places the organism in Eukaryota, Viridiplantae, Streptophyta, Magnoliopsida, Solanales, Solanaceae.
GAUGAGGCCCUAUCCCAUCAUAUGAACAGGCUAUGUUUUGUAGAGUAUUACAUGCCCGCAGGUAUAGACGCUCAUUUUGCUGAUCCGCUUGCUUAGGACAUCCACUCUACUAUUUGACGGUGCUCCUUUAGCCUUUGUGUGCUACAUUUACUUCGUAUUACAUGCCCGCAGGUAUAGACGCUCAUUUUGCUGAUCCGCUUGCUUAGGACAUCCACUCUACUAUUUGACGGUGCUCCUUUAGCCUUUGUGUGCUACAUUUACUUCGGGGUUGAGGUUGAAGAUUAUACUCAUCUACGUGGCUAGUUAAGCUUUUCUAUCCGGCGGUGUUUG